This 511-nucleotide long non-coding RNA is filed under the name Arabidopsis lyrata. Its description in RNAcentral is "long non-coding RNA (ALYR_LNC000383)". The record is from RNAcentral. Lineage: Eukaryota; Viridiplantae; Streptophyta; Magnoliopsida; Brassicales; Brassicaceae.
UUUAGUCUUCUCUGUAACUUCCAAUUUAAUUGAUUUUCUGUAAAUUUACUCAUCUUCGUCAAUUGCUUUUAUAUAACUUCAAAUUCGAGUUUCUUAAUCGUGAUUUCAUAAGAUCUCUUCAAACUCUGUUUUUUAUAGAUUCGAUGUGGAGAAGGUGAAUACACUGAACAUGGAUGGGAAAUUGGGAAGAAGAAGAAGCGUUGGAUUUUGUAAAUAACGAAAGCUGAUUACAAGAAUGCUUACGUCACGCUACGUAGCCCUUUGUCGAUUUCUAAGGAUUUGUUAGGAAGAGUAAAGUGAAACGUCGUCGUGGUGGUGAAAGAGAUAUUUCUCCGACGAGGGCUGGUGCUACGGUGACGCGGCGGCAACGGCCAUGUUUCCAGUUAGGGGGUCAUGAGUAGAUUAUUGUGAUCUGGGUUUGUGUUUCCUUUAGUUUUGAUUUUGUUUCUGUUAAAAAAGACGAGCUUGAUAGUGAAUCUGAAUCAUAUAAGCUAUAUCUCAAUUAGAGGUU